Long non-coding RNA from Prionailurus viverrinus (fishing cat), 418 nucleotides. RefSeq lists it as uncharacterized. NCBI's taxonomy places the organism in Eukaryota, Metazoa, Chordata, Mammalia, Carnivora, Felidae. The record is from RefSeq and is a predicted model, not a curated record. The transcript is spliced from 3 exons.
GUAGAGGGAGGGGUGAGAAGAGAUCUGGUCUGCAAGGUAGCAUCGGGUGGGACGGGCAGAGCUGAUUGGAGAAUGGUGCCGGGGCAGAGGAACAGCAUGAGCGAAGGCAGAAGCCGAGGGUUUCUGUUACCUGUGGCCAACCGCGUUCUGGAAGCAGAUGAUCCUCCUUCCUACAUAGGGCCAGAAGGUCAAUAGCAGCCCGCCGGGUCACGCUGCCUAGGUCAUUCACCGCACUUCAUCUCAUCACGUAGGCGUCUUAUCAUCUCCCAUCAGCACAGGAAGAAGGGUGACAAGGAGCGGAGGAUGGGUCGCUUGGAUACGCUGCUCAAUGAUGGUUUCAUUCAUUCGCUGAUCCAUUCACUCGUGCAGUUAACCCAUACUCUGGGUCCCCUGCAGCCAGACCCGGUGCUGGUUUCUU